UACGUAGGGUGCAAGCGUUGUCCGGAAUUAUUGGGCGUAAAGAGCUCGUAGGCGGUUUGUUGCGUCGGCUGUGAAAUCCCGAGGCUCAACCUCGGGUCUGCAGUCGAUACGAGCAAACUAGAGUGUUGCAGGGGAGACUGGAAUUCCUGGUGUAGCGGUGAAAUGCGCAGAUAUCAGGAGGAACACCGGUGGCGAAGGCGGGUCUCUGGGCCACUACUGACGCUGAGAAGCGAAAGCGUGGGGAGCGAACAGG
Molecule: ribosomal RNA, 253 nt
Filed under: uncultured bacterium
Lineage: Bacteria
Description: partial 16S ribosomal RNA
Rfam family: Bacterial small subunit ribosomal RNA
Source: RNAcentral